CCGAUAACCAAUCUCCCGCUGGCUGGUCUAGAUUCGUCAUCUUGUAAGAUUGUAUGUUUGUGAAUGAGGUUCGCCGUUUGAAAGGAGAAGACCCAAGAUGGCGAAGCGACGUCUCCCGAUGAUUGUCUUUGUUUCAGUGAUAUUUCUUGGCACUUUGUAUCCCUUUGGUCUGCUAGUGAUGGUCACAAGGACCCCGAAUGUGUUGAAUACUAAGCACUUGUGUCUUCAAACAAAGUAUGACCAUACAGUCAUCAAGGAAACACAGAGACUAAAUGAUACUGAGCACGUGUAUCUUCAAACAACGACUGAACGUGCAGUCACCAGGGAG
Haliotis rufescens (red abalone) is the source of this 328-nucleotide long non-coding RNA. RefSeq lists it as uncharacterized. The transcript has 5 exons. NCBI's taxonomy places the organism in Eukaryota, Metazoa, Mollusca, Gastropoda, Lepetellida, Haliotidae. The record is from RefSeq and is a predicted model, not a curated record.